This 74-nucleotide transfer RNA is filed under the name Clostridiales bacterium. RNAcentral's name for it is "tRNA-Asp". It matches the Rfam family "tRNA". Rfam says of the family: Transfer RNA (tRNA) molecules are approximately 80 nucleotides in length. Their secondary structure includes four short double-helical elements and three loops (D, anti-codon, and T loops). Further hydrogen bonds mediate the characteristic L-shaped molecular structure. tRNAs have two regions of fundamental functional importance: the anti-codon, which is responsible for specific mRNA codon recognition, and the 3' end, to which the tRNAs corresponding amino acid is attached (by aminoacyl-tRNA synthetases). tRNAs cope with the degeneracy of the genetic code in two manners: having more than one tRNA (with a specific anti-codon) for a particular amino acid; and 'wobble' base-pairing, i.e. permitting non-standard base-pairing at the 3rd anti-codon position. The record is from RNAcentral. Lineage: Bacteria; Bacillati; Bacillota; Clostridia; Eubacteriales.
GGCCCGGUGGCUCCGUCGGUUAGAGCACCGCCCUGUCACGGCGGGGGUCAUGGGUUCGAGUCCCAUUCGGGUCG